UCAAGCGAAGAAGAGCACAUGGAGAAUGCCUUGGCAUUAGGAGCCGAAGAAGGACGUGACAAGCUGCGAUAAGCUGCGGGAAGGUGCAAAUGACUAUAGAUCCGCAGAUUUCCGAAUGGGGAAACCCGGCAAAGCAAUACUUUGUCAGCAUAUACUGAAUAAAUAGGUAUAUGUGGGGAGACCCGCUGAACUGAAACAUCUAAGUAGGCGGAGGAAGAGAAAUCAAAAGAGAUUUUCUGAGUAGCGGCGAGCGAAAGGGAAAGAGGCCAAACCGAUGGUAGUAAUACUGUCGGGGUUGAGGACUGCGAAACGCAUUCGGAGUUGAUAGUAGAAUUGACUGGGAAGUCAAGCCAAAGAGGGUAAGAGCCCCGUAAACGAAAUUGACGAAGAGCGAGCAGGAUCCAGAGUACUGCCGGACACGAGAAACCCGGUGGGAAGCAGGGUAGACCACUAUCCAAGCCUAAAUACUACCUAAUGACCGAUAGAGAAGCAGUACCGUGAGGGAAAGGUGAAAAGAACCCCGGGAGGGGAGUGAAAGAGAACCUGAAACCGUGUGCUUACAAGCAGUCGGAGCACGUUAAAGUGUGACGGCGUACUUUUUGUAGAACGGUCCGGCGAGUGUAUGUAUGUAGCAAGGUUAAGAGCUUAAGGUUCGAAGCCGCAGGGAGACCGAGUCUGAAUAGGGCGAAAGAGUUGCAUGUAUACGACCCGAAACCGAGUGACCUACCCAUGGACAGGUUGAAGCUAGAGUAAAAUCUGGUGGAGGACCGAACCCACGUAUGUUGAAAAAUGCGGGGAUGAGCUGUGGGUAGCGGAGAAAUUCCAAUCGAACUCGGAUAUAGCUGGUUCUCCCCGAAAUAGCUUUAGGGCUAGCCUCGGAUUAGUUUAGCGGAGGUAAAGCACUGAAUGGGCUAGGGGGCGUAUAGCUUACUGAACCCUAUCAAACUCAGAAUGCCGCAAAAAUGAUGUCCGGGAGUCAGACUACGGGAGAUAAGUUUCGUGGUCGAAAGGGAAACAGCCCAGACCCACAGCUAAGGUCCCAAAAUAGGUUUAAGUGGAAAAGGAUGUCUAGUUGCAGAGACAACUAGGACGUUGGCUUAGAAGCAGCCAUACAUUUAAAGAGUGCGUAAUAGCUCACUAGUCGAGUGAAUAGGCGCCGAAAAUUUAACGGGGCUAAAACCUAUACCGAAGCUUGGGAAUUUGCAUAACUAUUAGAACACAUAUGAGAAAGAGAAAGAAAACCGGCUGCGAAGCAGACGGGAAAUUGAAGUAAGGAAAAAAGGAAUGUGUGAUCUAAUAGUUAUGCAAGUUGGUAGGGGAGCAUUCUAUUAUAGGGAGAAGCAUGACCGGAAGGACAUGUGGACGAGAUAGAAGAGAGAAUGCCGGAAUGAGUAGCGAGAAUUAUGUGAGAAUCAUAAUGGUCGAAAACCUAAGGUUUCUUGAGGAAGGUUCGUCCGCUCAAGGUAAGCCGGGAGCUAAGGCGAGGCCGAAAGGCGUAGUCGAUGCACAUACGGUAGAAAUUCCGUAGCCACCGAAAUUGUUAAGCACAGGGACGCAGGAACAUAAUCCAACCGCACCGAUGGUCGAGUGCGGCGAAAGGGAGCGAAAAUUAAGUAGCGAAGUGGAUGAUUGUACACUGACGAGAAAAGCUGUGUGUAUUGAUGAGGUGCCCGUACCGUAAACCGACACAGGUGGGUGAGGAGAGAAUCCUAAGACCAGCGGGAGAAGUGUUGUUAAGGAACUCGGCAAAUUGACCCCGUAACUUCGGGAAAAGGGGUGCCUGCUAGCGCAGGCCGCAGAGAAUAGGCCCAAGCGACUGUUUAGCAAAAACACAGGUCUCUGCUAAAUCGAAAGAUGAAGUAUAGGGGCUGACGCCUGCCCGGUGCCGGAAGGUUAAGAGGAGGACUUAGCGCAAGCGAAGGUCUGAAUUGAAGCCCCGGUAAACGGCGGCCGUAACUAUAACGGUCCUAAGGUAGCGAAAUUCCUUGUCAGGUAAGUUCUGACCCGCACGAAUGGCGUAACGAUUUGGGCACUGUCUCAACAACACACCCGGUGAAAUUGUAGUACCGGUGAAGAUGCCGGUUACCCGCGACUAGACGGAAAGACCCCAUGGAGCUUUACUGUAACUUGAUAUUGGAUUUUGGUAUUGCAUGUACAGGAUAGGUGGGAGACAGAGAAGCACAGACGCCAGUUUGUGUGGAGUCAAUGUUGGGAUACCACUCUUGUGAUACUGGAAUUCUAACCUGCGGCCGUGAAACCGGUCGGGGGACAAUGUCUGGUGGACAGUUUGACUGGGGCGGUCGCCUCCUAAAGAGUAACGGAGGCGUUCAAAGGUUAGCUCAGUACGGUCAGAAAUCGUACGAAGAGUGCAAACGCAAAAGCAAGCCUAACUGCGAGACGAACAGGUCGAGCAGUAACGAAAGUUGGAGUUAGUGAUCCGGCGGUAAGAGAGUGGAAUUGCCGUCGCUCAACGGAUAAAAGCUACCCUGGGGAUAACAGGCUGAUCUCCCCCAAGAGUCCACAUCGACGGGGAGGUUUGGCACCUCGAUGUCGGCUCAUCGCAUCCUGGAGCUGAAGUCGGUUCCAAGGGUUGGGCUGUUCGCCCAUUAAAGCGGUACGCGAGCUGGGUUCAGAACGUCGCGAGACAGUUCGGUCCCUAUCUGUCGCGGGCGCAGGAAAUUUGAAGGGAGCUGUCCUUAGUACGAGAGGACCGGGAUGGACGUACCACUGGUGUACCAGUUGUCUUGCCAAAGGCACGGCUGGGUAGCUAAGUACGGAAGGAAUAAACGCUGAAGGCAUCUAAGCGUGAAGUCCCCCCUAAGAUAAGAUUUCCCAUUCUUUAAAAGAAGUAAGACCCCACGUAGACUAUGUGGUUGAUAGGUCGGAGGUGUAAGUGUGGUAACACAUUAAGCUGACCGAUACUAAUAGGUCGAGGGCUUGACCU
Molecule: ribosomal RNA, 2944 nt
Filed under: human gut metagenome
Description: bacterial LSU rRNA
Rfam family: Bacterial large subunit ribosomal RNA
Source: RNAcentral